Anopheles merus is the source of this 695-nucleotide long non-coding RNA. RefSeq lists it as uncharacterized. NCBI's taxonomy places the organism in Eukaryota, Metazoa, Arthropoda, Insecta, Diptera, Culicidae. The transcript is spliced from 2 exons. The record is from RefSeq and is a predicted model, not a curated record.
AUCUCUUCCUGAGCCAUUUGUGUCAUUGUGAAUGUUUACUGGUGUUGCUAUUGUUCAAGUAAAACUGAAACGACACGAUAGCAGGAGCUUUGUUAAUUUUUGUGUGUUAUUAAUAUUUUCCUGCAUGGAAUCUGGGCGCUGCAGGUGACGUAUUGGAGUGACAUCAUCAAAACAUGGAUAAGCAAAGUAUGCGAUGAAACGAUCAAUAGAGCAAACGUAAAGCAAACCGUGAAAUCCGAACUGUACAGUUGCAUCGUUCCAGUUCAUUCUAUGCUCCGCACACAUCGAUGUUACCUGCCAGCGACGCUAUAGAAAUAUCAUGUACCGUUACAGCUCACAGACUUUCGUCGAUCUUUUCAAUGCUUCAAGUUUCACGAAAAGACAAAAGCAAAAUACUUUCUCUACAUGAGAGCUUUUUUGUCACGUCGUCGACAAUUCGUACCUUCUCAAAUCGUUGCAGACAGUGGCUAAGUUGUGUUUGCACAAUGUGAUUCGAUGGUCCGCGAUAGCUACUUAGCACUUUUUGGACCGAAGAUUUUACAAAAUAUGAUUCCGUCAAGAAAUCAAUAAACACACGAGAGAUAGACGAAAAACUAAUUUUCUUUCACUAAACAGCACCUACACAACCACAUUAGUUUGCAUGCACACUCACACACACACACACACACACACGCACCUACAUGUACAUAUAUAAA